This 490-nucleotide ribosomal RNA is filed under the name uncultured bacterium. Its description in RNAcentral is "partial 16S ribosomal RNA". It matches the Rfam family "Bacterial small subunit ribosomal RNA", at positions 30 to 507 of the family's 1533-position model. The record is from RNAcentral.
AUUGAACGCUGGCGGCAGGCCUAACACAUGCAAGUCGAACGGUAACAGGAAACAGCUUGCUGUUUCGCUGACGAGUGGCGGACGGGUGAGUAAUGUCUGGGAAACUGCCUGAUGGAGGGGGAUAACUACUGGAAACGGUAGCUAAUACCGCAUAACGUCGCAAGACCAAAGAGGGGGACCUUCGGGCCUCUUGCCAUCGGAUGUGCCCAGAUGGGAUUAGCUAGUAGGUGGGGUAACGGCUCACCUAGGCGACGAUCCCUAGCUGGUCUGAGAGGAUGACCAGCCACACUGGAACUGAGACACGGUCCAGACUCCUACGGGAGGCAGCAGUGGGGAAUAUUGCACAAUGGGCGCAAGCCUGAUGCAGCCAUGCCGCGUGUAUGAAGAAGGCCUUUGGGUUGUAAAGUACUUUCAGCGGGGAGGAAGGGAGUAAAGUUAAUACCUUUACUCAUUGACGUUACCCGCAGAAGAAGCACCGGCUAACUCCGUG